Molecule: ribosomal RNA, 253 nt
Filed under: uncultured bacterium
Lineage: Bacteria
Description: partial 16S ribosomal RNA
Rfam family: Bacterial small subunit ribosomal RNA
Source: RNAcentral
UACGUAGGGUGCGAGCGUUGUCCGGAAUUAUUGGGCGUAAAGGGCUCGUAGGCGGUUUGUCGCGUCGGGAGUGAAAACUCAGGGCUUAACCCUGAGCCUGCUUCCGAUACGGGCAGACUAGAGGUAUGCAGGGGAGAACAGAAUUCCUGGUGUAGCGGUGAAAUGCGCAGAUAUCAGGAGGAACACCGGUGGCGAAGGCGGUUCUCUGGGCAUUACCUGACGCUGAGGAGCGAAAGUGUGGGGAGCGAACAGG